Molecule: ribosomal RNA, 465 nt
Filed under: Vreelandella stevensii
Lineage: Bacteria; Pseudomonadati; Pseudomonadota; Gammaproteobacteria; Oceanospirillales; Halomonadaceae
Description: partial 16S ribosomal RNA
Rfam family: Bacterial small subunit ribosomal RNA
Source: RNAcentral
CCUACGGGGGGCUGCAGUGGCGAAUAUUGGACAAUGGGGGCAACCCUGAUCCAGCCAUGCCGCGUGUGUGAAGAAGGCCCUCGGGUUGUAAAGCACUUUCAGUGAGGAAGAACGCCUGGUGGUUAAUACCCAUCAGGAAAGACAUCACUCACAGAAGAAGCACCGGCUAACUCCGUGCCAGCAGCCGCGGUAAUACGGAGGGUGCGAGCGUUAAUCGGAAUUACUGGGCGUAAAGCGCGCGUAGGUGGCUUGAUAAGCCGGUUGUGAAAGCCCCGGGCUCAACCUGGGAACGGCAUCCGGAACUGUCAAGCUAGAGUGCAGGAGAGGAAGGUAGAAUUCCCGGUGUAGCGGUGAAAUGCGUAGAGAUCGGGAGGAAUACCAGUGGCGAAGGCGGCCUUCUGGACUGACACUGACACUGAGGUGCGAAAGCGUGGGUAGCAAACAGGAUUAGAUACCCCGGUAGUC